AACUUUCAGCAAUGGAUCACUUGGUUCUCGCAUCGAUGAAGAACGCAGCGAAAUGCGAUUAGUAAUGUGAAUUGCAGAAUUCAGUGAAUCAUCGAAUCUUUGAACGCACGUUGCUCCCUUUGGCUAUUCCGAAGGGCAUGCCUGUUUGAGUAUCAUGAACCCCUCCACCCUCACGGUUCCUCGUGAUGGGCUUGGACUUGGGGGCUUUGUUGGCCUGUGGUCAGCUCUCCUCAAAUAAAUCAGCUCGCCAGUGUCUGGCGGCAUCAUGGGUGUGAUAACCAUCUACGCUUGUGAUCGCCUGCGAGGUAAACCUCUGGUCUGCAGAGGUUCGCUGGAGCGUAUAGAUGUCUCUCCUCUGUGAAGACAGCUUUCUGAAGUUCGAUCUCAAAUCAGGUAGGACUACCCGCUGAACUUAAGCAUAUCAAUAAGCGGAGGCU
This 437-nucleotide unclassified non-coding RNA is filed under the name uncultured Thelephoraceae. Its description in RNAcentral is "sequence contains ITS2". The stretch from base 1 to 155 matches the Rfam family "5.8S ribosomal RNA". The record is from RNAcentral. Lineage: Eukaryota; Fungi; Basidiomycota; Agaricomycetes; Thelephorales; Thelephoraceae.